UUUUUUUUUUUGUUUGUUUGUUUGUUUUUUAAAUAGGUCUUCCAAGUUAAGGUAAUUUUUUGACAUUGCCGAAAUGGUUGAUCCUAGCUACAAAUGGGAAUUUGGAGUCACUCUGAAAUAUAUCCUGGAAUAAUUGUGUUUGACUGGAACCAAAUCUUAUGAAGUCUCCAAGGUAAGAUGAUUUUAAUACAUACCUAGAGAUGAUACCUUUAUGAAGCAUGAAGAAUUUAGCAAAACUGAGUAUCUUAGAGUUGAUGAGCCUUUAUAAAAGCCUUCUUUUACAUUGAAUUUUUUGGAAUUUAGGGAGUUUUAAAAAUUUUAGCUCUUAUCUUUGAAGUUAUUUCAGUUUGUAUAGCAAUGUUUUAGCUAUUCAGCAGGGUAAAAGGUGAGAUUUUUAAGAUAAAACCAGUUUUGUUUUACAUUUGUACAAAAAUGUUGAAUGUAGAAGAAAUUUCAGUAUCACAGUAGACAUAGUACUGUGAAAUCCUUUUACUGGGGGUCUGGAUUAUUACGAUUAUUAUCAUUUUUUGUCUUUUUAGGGCUGCACCUGUGGCAUAUGGAAGUUCCCAGUCUAGAGGCUGAACUGGAGCUGUAGCUGCUGGCCUAUACCGCAGCCAUAGCAAUGCCUGAUCCUUAAUCCACUGAGUGGGGCCAGGGAUCGAACCUGCAUCCUCAUAGAUACCAGUCGGGUCCAUUUGUUUCUGCUGAGCCAUGACGGGAACUCCGAGUCUGGAUUAUUGAAUGAAAUAAAGAAUUAUUGCUGAAUAUCUGCCUACUUCUCCAUAGACAUAUUUCCAAGGAAUGAUAGCUAUUGUUGAGUAAAUACUUGCUGUAGGUCCUGGGAACUUGUAGCUAUAUUUGCCCCUGACCCUGGAAUAGAAUUGUCUGUAAAGAAGAAGUCAGAUCAGGAAUUACCCCUGAGAUCUGGAACAGUGACCCUUUAGACUUGUGAUUUGGGAUUUGUUGUUGGGAUCCAGCCAGGGAAAGAAACGAUUCUGAUAAUGUGGAACAGAGGGAAUUGAAUUCAGGGCACUGGUUUCCCACAUGAUGCACGAGUCAGAGAUGGUCAGAGAGUCAGAGAAGAUACAGAGGCAGCCCAGAGAUCAGCAACAGCAGGAAGCUUCUGCCAUCCUGAAACUGGUGGGAUAAAGGAAGGCAGUAUUCCUUGCCAGUCUCAGUGGGAGCUGAAACCUUAGUGGGCUCUUCUGGUGGGAAUUGAUGCCAUGGAGGAGAAAUGUCCACUCCAUAGUCCCUGCCAGGACAGAGGAGGUGGGGAGAAAUUCGCUUCCAGCCUCCAGGAACCAGCCAGUGUCUCCCAUUGGUUAAAUCCACCCUCCAGGAUCCAGCUGGUGUCUCCUAUUGGUUAAAUCUACCCUCUGGGAUCCUAAUGGUAUCUCCUGUUGGUUAAACUCAGGUGAUUCAGGAGCCUGGGAAACGCAGGGUGUAGGAAUCAACCAGGACAAGGGGAAAGAAUGGAUCUGGGAUAGGGUUUAUAUUUGAAGUCUCUUUCCAUGAGAUUUUAAGGAGCGUGGCAUGGGUGUUUUCAUACCUCAGAGGAUGGUCUUUUUCUUGAGACUGUUUCUCACAGCCCCACAAAGUAAAUCAUGCAUAUGUCCUGGAACAUUCUAGUUGAAGCUGGACAGACAGGAGAGUAGACACUAUGUGCAUUGUCCAGAGUAUGAUGUGGGCGCCAGGUCCCCAAGGCUGCGGUUUUCCUUAAGAAUGGAGUCAGGGUUUUGGUUGCGGUACAGUGGGGCUGCGAGUUGUAGGUUGUUAGACCCUUCCCUCCACAAUUUCCUCAGAAGCUUUGCCUCUAGCAUUACCCAAACAGGAACCCAACCCCAUGGGCCUUGGCUUUAUUGUCUGCCCAUAAGUAUUUAUACAUCUUGUAUAUAUGAAAAGGGGGUUCCUUUGAUCCACUGCUGUGGACCUAUUAUGAUAGACAUCAUGAGACAUGUGGCAGGCAGAACCUAGUAUUGUUGGAAUUUCAAAUGCUAAGACCUUUACUUGAGCAAACCCACAUAUUUUUUUAUUUGAAUGCAGCUCUAAGUGUGUAGCUUUUCAAAUUUCAUGGUAUCAAAUAGUGUAUAACCCUCAUGUUUUAUCAGGGUGAUCCAAGUUAUACCCUAGGGAUUCACAGACUUCUCAGCAAGGCUUAUAGUUAAGCUGGAGAACUUUUAAUUAUAGAAGAUUUGUAUUGAAAAUUGAGUUAAUGCACAGUGCAGAUAAAGUUUGAUUGGUCUUCAGUUUGCUUGGGGGGAAAAGAAGUCCAUCAUCUAGCAUCUUCCUGCUUUCCCCACCUUCUCAGGGUUGUGUUUGCUGAAGAGCCUUGUGUCAUGUCACGCAGCCCUCACUGACUUUUGCCCUGCUUUCUCUGCAGGAUGAGAGUCUGGGCUAGGUCAGUUUUGCUGUCACACUGGCUCUUUCUGGCCUACGUGUUAAUGGUGUGCUGUAAGCUGAUGUCUGCCUCCAGCCAGCACCUCCGGGGACACACAGGUAAGCCCUUUAAGCUCGUUAUUUGCCUCUGAGAUCAAUUAAUAAAACGCUUUCAAAUGCCAGAGUCCAUAUUUUAGACAAAGGUAACUGACAAGAGCUUUUGGUGGUGUGUAAAUAACCAGAGGAAGCAUGAAAUAUAGCAGAAUAAAGCAGUUUAACAAUUUGAUGCUUAAAGAGUAUUGCUCCAGAUGUCUUUUUAGGAUGUUCUCCAGGUUUUCCUUUUUUUCUUUUCCUUCCCUAAGUACACUUGCAUUUUUUUUUGGUAAUGAUUUUCCUCAAAGAGUCCUGGAAAACCAGCAGCACUCUGUAAUUAUAUACUCCAGCCUCCUUUGAGGAAAAACAUCUUUAUUGAUAAACUUAAAUGAACACUUCUAGAGCUAUAGUGAAGGGAACUUUCAGACAGUUUUAUAUCCUUUUAUGAAAAGGUGGUGAAUGGUUGAAAAAGAAGAAAGAAAAGGGGGAAAAAGCUGUGGUAAUCUUUGUACAGAAACUAAAAUGCAAUGUGUCUGAAAUUUUAGAGAAUCUUUCCAAUAAUUUCUAAUGAGACCCAUGGCUGUACUUUGCUUAUUUCUAAAGAAAGAUUAAAAUACUCAGUUAAGUGUGUGUAUGUGUUUCUUUUUUCCUUUCCUGGUUACAUCUAUGUUGAAAGUGACAUAGACUUGGAAACUCCCCAGUGAAUUGUGUUUUCCAGAAUAAUUCAUAUGUGUCAGCAGACUCAUUGCCAAACAAUUAAUUUACUGUCUCUGCUUCAGUAAUUGGAGGUGUGGCAGUGCCAGGCAUGCUCUGACUUUUUAGUGAAACAGCGAUGUUUGAACCCUAGACUAUGUGUGAGUCAGAAUUAUAAGGUCUCUUGCCAAGAAAGUAUUGUAGAGAAGUUUGGUCAGUAUCCUGACCCUUAGGUACACAGCAGGUCAAGCUUUCCACUUAGUUAUUCUGCUAAUUUAAGAUUAAGACACAAUUUUAGGCUUAAGUUUUUAAACUCUCUCAUGCCUCAAUUUUCCUUAAGUGACAGUUUCAAGAAGACAGAAAUAAUGAUUGAAAAUGUAAUGGAUCAGCAUAAAAUUAGUACCAUUUGGCUGUUGUGAAGAUGCCCAGGGCUAGUUGGUUAUUAUGCUGUGUGUCUUUUAAUGAGGUUGGUCUCAAGGAUUGAGCAUUUGAAGUCAUUAGUCUUAUCUGUUUAAUAUACAUCUCUUUUCUUGGGUGCAGGUAGAGAGUCAGCUGGUAAAAAUACAAAGCAUUUCAGUGGGGCUGGUUAUCCCCAGCACACAUCCAGAUUUCCAGGAACUAGAUUUGAGGGAUUAUGACAAAAAGUGGUUAAAACUUGAAGGAAAUGGGGGACAUGACUGAACCUUCCAUUUUUAAUCUUCCUGACGAACUUCAUUUUGUACCAUAACCCUUUAAAUUUGUAAAAGGUGGAACUGUAGAAGUAAAUCUAAAUUAUUAUUUGCAUUGUGUACACAAGAGAUGCAAUAUCUUAUGUACAAGCAAAUACUCAGCUGCGGCAGGGGAGGUGAGAAGUCGGAUGGAAGCCUUGAGUGGGUAGUAUGUAAGCUGGAUAUUCUCCUCUACUGUAGUCUUUUUGGAACCACCAUGAGCUUGCGGGUUUGAUCCCUGGCCUCACUCAGUGGGUUAAGGAUCCGGUGUUACCGUGAGCUGUAGUGUAUGUAGUUCGCAAAUUCGGCUCGGAUCCCACCUUGCUGUGGCUAUGGUGUAGGCCAGCGGCUACAGCUCCAAUUAGACCUCUAGCCUGGAAACCUCCAUAUGCUGUGGGUGUGGCCUGAAAAGACAAAAGACAAAAAAAAANUGCUGUGUACACUUGUUCUUUUGUGCUGUAGUGUAGUACCAAGGUGGCAAGUAUAUAUUUGAUAUCAGGAAUGACCUUGUAGGCAAAGCAGAUGGCCAAAUAGGGGAAAUUUGAGAAUUAAAAGGAACAUUUCUUGUCCAUCAAUUUUAUCAUCUAGUAGAGAUGCGUGAAAAUUUGAAUAUUUAUUAUUUUGAUUUAUUUAAGGCUUUUCUACUUUAAAGUAUGUUUUGUAAAUGCAGAAAACAUUUUUUCCUUUUUUAAAAUGAAGUACAGUUGAUGUACAAUUAAAAACAUUUUUCUGGAAAAAAAAAAGAAAAAAAAAAAAAGAAAAGGCUCUACUACAUUCAACCUGUGGUCUCCAAGGUUGUUUUGGAGUCAUCUCCAUCCCCGCCAGCAGGAAGGAAAAUGGGCUAGAGGGUACACCUGGGAGGCGUUGAUGAACCGGGCUAGAUGCUGCCAUUGGCUGGAGCUGAGUCCCAUGGCCACGCCUGGAUGCUGCCAUUGGCUGGAGCUGAGUCCCAUGGCCAUGCCUUACCGCAGGGGCUUCUAGGAAACAUACCAUAGCUAUGGGAUGGGGUCCAAGAGGAGAUCGUGAGUUUUGGUGAGUGUCCUGCAGCGUCUGACGCAAUGCAGUAAAGUUUUAAUAGUGCAAAGUGCCCUCCAAAACUUCUGAACUUACUUCUACUUCCACCGACAAUAAUGUUUCCCCAGUCUGUCAUCAACUCUGGGUGCUGUCAGGUUUUACUGUUUUGUGGCUAUGGUAAUGAAAACUGCCUUCUAAUUGUUUUGACUUGCAUUUCUUUUUGACUAAAGACUCUUCUAAUGUGCUGGGGGGGGAACUGUUUGCAUUUGUUUUUCUCUGAACUAUCUUAUCCUUUAUCUAUUUUUCUCUUGGCCUCUCUUGAUUUUUUACUUGUCAAUGUUCAAAUGUUGUUUGUAAAUUGAGGAUACCUGAGUACUUUGUGUAUCAGUUUCGUGUUUCUUCCUGCUUUUUCUUUGCCCACUACUCUUGUUCUAGGGAGGCUGUCUAGUCCAGCAAGGGGUGUGUGCGGUGUUGUGUGUGUGUUCAACGGGGAAGGGACAAGGCAGGUGUUGCAAAUUUUCUAUGGGCCUUGCGGUAGCCCCGUGGCUUUUAUUUCCAGAAUAACACUCAGCUGGUGACAAAGUCAAGCAUCAGACUUGAGAAACUCUGGUCAGGUUUUUGGGUGGAUCCAAAACAGCCUGAGAGCAGGAGCAAGCUGCAAAGAGUUAACUGCAGAAGCCUGUGUGCACUGUCCAGAAGGACUCCUGACACCGUCCCAAGAGACUUGUGGUUCGUGCUGGCCAAUUAAAGGAACCACGGCCCUAGGAAACCCUAGUUGGAAGCUUAUUAAUGCUUUUAAUGGCUUAGAUUAGCAGAGUGGCUUACUGAUGGUUGUGUAUAAACAAGGAAAUAUUCUUACGAUCCCAUCUUCACUCAUCCCUUGAUGAUAGAGACAGAGGAGAAGGUAGGACCCAACUGCUAAUUAGGGGAGAAUAGAUGCGGUGCUAGGUGUGGUUUGAAGUUUCAUUUUGCCUUCCACGUUAAAAAACACAAAAUAAAAAUGCACCUCAGUUUCACAGGUUUGGUGGUGGGAAUCUUUCUUUAAGGCAAAUGGCAUUGGUAAUGUUCCACAAGAGUCUAGCUAGCGGUAGUAUUUUUAAGGAAUUAGAAAACACAAAGGGCUACCUUUGUUGUUUUAAAAAUUCUACCUGACAGUGAUUGAGGAGACCACAUGGGCCUCUGUAGCCCCAAACCCCAGGUGCAGGGGCCAAUUGGUAGGUUAGUUUCUUUUCAAAGGAA
Molecule: long non-coding RNA, 6122 nt
Filed under: Sus scrofa (pig)
Lineage: Eukaryota; Metazoa; Chordata; Mammalia; Artiodactyla; Suidae
Description: lncRNA (ENSSSCG00050022853.1)
Source: RNAcentral